This 83-nucleotide transfer RNA is filed under the name Actinomycetota bacterium. RNAcentral describes it as "Actinobacteria bacterium tRNA-Leu". It matches the Rfam family "tRNA". From Rfam's summary of the family: Transfer RNA (tRNA) molecules are approximately 80 nucleotides in length. Their secondary structure includes four short double-helical elements and three loops (D, anti-codon, and T loops). Further hydrogen bonds mediate the characteristic L-shaped molecular structure. tRNAs have two regions of fundamental functional importance: the anti-codon, which is responsible for specific mRNA codon recognition, and the 3' end, to which the tRNAs corresponding amino acid is attached (by aminoacyl-tRNA synthetases). tRNAs cope with the degeneracy of the genetic code in two manners: having more than one tRNA (with a specific anti-codon) for a particular amino acid; and 'wobble' base-pairing, i.e. permitting non-standard base-pairing at the 3rd anti-codon position. The record is from RNAcentral. Lineage: Bacteria; Bacillati; Actinomycetota.
GCCGGAGUGGUGGAACAGGCAGACACGCAUGAUUUAGGUUCAUGUGCCCACUGGGCGUGCGGGUUCAAGUCCCGCCUUCGGCA